RNAcentral lists this long non-coding RNA (227 nucleotides) under Gossypium raimondii (Peruvian cotton). RNAcentral describes it as "long non-coding RNA (GRAI_LNC005903)". Lineage: Eukaryota; Viridiplantae; Streptophyta; Magnoliopsida; Malvales; Malvaceae. The record is from RNAcentral.
UCGCCACUCCACUUACAUUAAAUUUUACCCAACCAUACCUCGGAGGACACCAAAACAUGCCACCCAUCCCAGAUUUUUUUAAAUCACACCAGCUUCUAAACGGGUAAAUCCACCAUGAUCUCUCUUGCACUCUUAAUUCUUCUUGAACAGACCUAACCCACAUCAAUGCCCGCAUCUUGGAGUGAAAUAACAAACUGUUCGUUGUAGACCACUUCCUUUCAAACACC